AGACCCGAAACCCGGUGAUCUAGCCAUGGGCAGGUUGAAGGUUGGGUAACACUAACUGGAGGACCGAACCGACUAAUGUUGAAAAAUUAGCGGAUGACCUGUGGCUGGGGGUGAAAGGCCAAUCAAACCGGGAGAUAGCUGGUUCUCCCCGAAAGCUAUUUAGGUAGCGCCUCGUGAAUUCAUCUCCGGGGGUAGAGCACUGUUUCGGCUAGGGGGCCAUCCCGGCUUACCAACCCGAUGCAAACUGCGAAUACCGGAGAAUGUUAUCACGGGAGACACACGGCGGGUGCUAACGUCCGUCGUGAAGAGGGAAACAACCCAGACCGCCAGCUAAGGUCCCAAAGUCAUGGUUAAGUGGGAAACGAUGUGGGAAGGCCCAGACAGCCAGGAUGUUGGCUUAGAAGCAGCCAUCAUUUAAAGAAAGCGUAAUAGCUCACUGGUCGAGUCGGCCUGCGCGGAAGAUGUAACGGGGCUAAACCAUGCACCGAAGCUGCGGCAGCGACGCUGAUGCGUUGUUGGGUAGGGGAGCGUUCUGUAAGCCUGUGAAGGUGGCCUGUGAGGGUUGCUGGAGGUAUCAGAAGUGCGAAUGCUGACAUAAGUAACGAUAAAGCGGGUGAAAAGCCCGCUCGCCGGAAGACCAAGGGUUCCUGUCCAACGUUAAUCGGGGCAGGGUGAGUCGACCCCUAAGGCGAGGCCGAAAGGCGUAGUCGAUGGGAAACGGGUUAAUAUUCCCGUACUUGGUGUUACUGCGAAGGGGGGACGGAGAAGGCUAUGUUGGCCGGGCGACGGUUGUCCCGGUUUAAGCGUGUAGGCUGGUUUUCCAGGCAAAUCCGGAAAAUCAAGGCUGAGGCGUGAUGACGAGGCACUACGGUGCUGAAGCAACAAAUGCCCUGCUUCCAGGAAAAGCCUCUAAGCAUCAGGUAACAU
This 927-nucleotide ribosomal RNA is filed under the name Salmonella enterica. Its description in RNAcentral is "partial 23S ribosomal RNA". It matches the Rfam family "Bacterial large subunit ribosomal RNA", at positions 711 to 1637 of the family's 2925-position model. Lineage: Bacteria; Pseudomonadati; Pseudomonadota; Gammaproteobacteria; Enterobacterales; Enterobacteriaceae. The record is from RNAcentral.